GUGCUUCUUCAGCAGCACAUGUACUAAAAUUGGAACGAUACAGAAAUUAGCAUGGUCCCUGCUCAAAAAUGACCUGAAAAUUCAUGAAGCAUUCCACGUUUUA
Small nuclear RNA from Homo sapiens (human), 103 nucleotides. NCBI's taxonomy places the organism in Eukaryota, Metazoa, Chordata, Mammalia, Primates, Hominidae. The record is from Ensembl.